GUUCCACCCGUGGGAGUUUCCAAAGCCUGCUCAUCGUGUGUAAGAACUGCUGAUGUCAAGGAAGCGUGUACACAGUGUGACCAGUUUGUCUGCCAGAACUGCAGCAGGCUCUGCAGCUGCUGUAACACCGUUACCUGUUCUUUGUGCUCCACUUACUGAUUAUGCUGAUGUGGGAGAGCAAGUUGUCUGCAAUGGUUGUUCAGUAUUUCAAGUCUGAACUUUGAUGAAAUAGCCUUUUUGGCUAAGAUGUCUGUAAAUUUCAUGAAGUUUCCUCCUUACGGCUGGUCAGUUAAUCCUUUUAGUAUGUGAAUUAAUUAUGGAAUUUCUAUGUUUUAUAUCUUUAUAUUGUACUUUUUAAUAUUGUAGCUAAAUAAACUUCUAUAUUUUAAGACUUUC
Apaloderma vittatum (bar-tailed trogon) is the source of this 396-nucleotide long non-coding RNA. RefSeq lists it as uncharacterized. The transcript has 3 exons. NCBI's taxonomy places the organism in Eukaryota, Metazoa, Chordata, Aves, Trogoniformes, Trogonidae. The record is from RefSeq and is a predicted model, not a curated record.